UUCCCGCUCGCCGCCGGCAGCUCGCUCCCACCGGCUCCCGCCGCUCUGCAGGCAGCGCACCUGGGGCCACCGGGCGGCCCGGCCCCGGCCCCGGCCCCGCGCCCCCGGGCCCGCGCGGGCGCUCACCUGGGCCCGCUCCGCCGCCGCCGCCGCCUCCUCCGGGGCGCGGCCCCACGCCGCAGCGGCCGCCGCCUGCCGCCUGCCCGCCGUGCGGCGGGAGCGCAGCGCGGGGCGGGCCGCGGCGGCGCUGCGGAGUGGGGGACCGGCCCCGAGCCGCGCCGCCUGCCCGCCCACAGCCCCGCCUGCGGGGAGCCGCCCCUGGCUCGGCUCGGCUCGGCCCGGCCCGGCCCGGGAGUGCUGCCGCCCCGAACGGAGCAGCCGCCGGCCCAGUGUGGGGGGGGGGGCGCCGCCGCCGCUUGCAGGCUCGUCCCGGGUGAGCCCCGGGCAGGCGCCGCAGGGCCCUGCGCGCUUCUCUUCGCCCCGCCUGGCUCGGCCGCCGCAGCCCCGCCGCCCCGCCCCAGGUCCCGGUCCCCACGGAGCCUCCCGGAGCCCCCCCCGCGGGGAGCUGCAGCCCCGUACCGAGGCGUCCCCGGUCACGGAGGAGAUCGGCCUCCCCGGGGCCAGGUUUGAGGCGAGCCGCGCGGCGCCCAGGCAGGGUGACCGUCCCGCAGCGUGUGGCGGUGCCUGGCACAGCCCAGCCGCUGCUGGCGGCCCGGAGCUCUGCGGGCGGCCUUCGUGCGGGGCUUGCCGCAGCAGCCCCCCUCAGUCGGUUGCCGCCCGAGGGAACUGUCUGUCCACCUGCACCAUGUUGGACAUGGAGACCUUUGUUGCUCAGCUGUGCACAAGGGAAAUCCCUGAGCCUCCUGCAGUGGCGAGGUGAUGGAGGAGCCUGCAAGCACUGCUCACCGCUUGGACCACCUGGGACCCAUGCUUUCGCAGCUGAAGUGAGAUCUCCUGGCCACAGUCCCAUUGUCGGGCAGAAUUGGCCUGAAACAACAACAUAAGAAAAUACUAAUGCCAGUACAAAUAAAUGAGGACUGACAUAAAAGGAAAGGCCUUGC
This 1061-nucleotide long non-coding RNA is filed under the name Anser brachyrhynchus (Pink-footed goose). RNAcentral describes it as "lncRNA (ENSABRG00000016088.1)". The record is from RNAcentral. Lineage: Eukaryota; Metazoa; Chordata; Aves; Anseriformes; Anatidae.